UUAUAACAUUCUGAUCAAUGGUUUUUGCAAGGCAGGCAACAUUAAUGGUGCUUUUAAGCUUGUAAAGGAGCUUCAACUCAAGGGGCUGUCGCCAGAUUCUGUAACAUAUGGAACUCUUAUAAAUGGGCUUCUAAGCAUUAAAAGAGAAGAGGAUGCCUUUAGGGUACUCGAUCAGAUGUUUAAGAGUGGGUGUACACCAACUACGGCAGUUUAUAAAUCACUUAUGACUUGGUCAUGCAGGAGAAAGAAGGUAUCUUUAGCUUUUAAUAUUUGGUUGCAAUAUCUGCAGAAUGUUUCUGGCCGAGACAAUGAAGUAGUUAAAAUAAUAGAGGAAUAUUUUGAGAAGGGAGAGGUGGAGAAGGCAGUUCGAAAGUUACUUGAGAUGGAC
Molecule: unclassified non-coding RNA, 388 nt
Filed under: Hevea brasiliensis (rubber tree)
Lineage: Eukaryota; Viridiplantae; Streptophyta; Magnoliopsida; Malpighiales; Euphorbiaceae
Source: RNAcentral